Oncorhynchus nerka (sockeye salmon) is the source of this 2145-nucleotide long non-coding RNA. RefSeq lists it as uncharacterized. NCBI's taxonomy places the organism in Eukaryota, Metazoa, Chordata, Actinopteri, Salmoniformes, Salmonidae. The record is from RefSeq and is a predicted model, not a curated record. The transcript has 2 exons.
GCGAAAGCAGCCAACUGUAAACGAAAGCCGAGGAGUGAAGUCGGGGGAGGUGCAUCUGUAACAGCCAGAAGUCAGACACUAAUGUGGUUUUACAACAGCCAGGCUCAGAUCAACAUGGCAGUGUUGCCAUUAUUUAUAAAAGUUUUUCUUUACAAUGUUGAAAUGAACAUGUCUCUAACCAUCAUUUCACACACUCACAAAAAAUGUGUGUACAUUUUACAAUCAAUGAGAGACCCUCAAGUAUCACAUUCAUUUGUAUAUAUCCAUCAUAUUAACUGAGGCAAAGUUGGUUAAAGUCAUGUCUUUGGUUGGUAAAAAACCCACCUAAUGAUUGCUUGACGAUAGAGCCUCCCACAAUGCAGGCGGUGGCUGCAGGAUGAAGUUGGUAAAGAGUAACUGCAGGAACUGGCAGCCGACUGCAAAACACUUUUGAUCACGUGAUUUUUGUAAAGCUCAUGCAGUCGACGCAAGUAGAACAAUUUAUAUCCCCAUAACGCAACACACUUUGAAAGGCGGUGACCAAAGAAGGUCGGACAAUUGGGAGUCUAAUCCUGGAAUUGGAAACUUGACAAAAGUGAUCCGCUCGAACGCCCUGUGUUUUUUUGUGAUUUUGGAUGGCCAGAUAGGUAGCAACAAUGGCAGGAAGCUUCCAUGUGGGAAAUCGUUUCAAUUCAUUUUUAUCUUGUUCUUGAUACCCAUGUGUGCCAUCGUGAGAGGCAUUGGGCCACCCACCUCAGCACAAUAGACAGGUGCGCUCACUUCAGUACCAUGGACAGCGGCACUAGGUGCAGCACAAUAGACAGCAGCACUCAGUUCAGCACUGUGGAAGGCUGCACUACCUUUAGCACCAGACCAGCCAAAGAAGCCAUCACAGCUCUGCUCACCCAAACACCUGUGCAGGAUUACUAAUCAGCACACCCGACUGGCCGGUGUUGCCUGGAGUUUGUUUUCUAGGGGAGCCAUCUCCUGCCUCUCCUCCCCCGUCUGAUAGCGGAGUCGCAGGAGCACAGCAAGAGUAUCAUGGCAAUCAAUGAUCGUCGUAUGUCACGAGCCGUGGAAGCCGAAGACAGUGGCCUCCCACAAAGCAGUCUACACUCCCAACGUGAGGCCUAGAGCGGAUGCAAACAACGAAUAGUUUCGCCACACUGUAGCCUGAUCUUCCUGCACCUUUGUUGCUGGGGGUACUUCUGUCUGAGGCCUGCACCAGGAGCCGGGAGCUACGGGCUCAAGUUAUCCUGCUUCUCGCCCAUCCUUAAAGUGUUCUCCGAAUCCUGUGGAGCGUGGGAGUGGGCGGAUUUCCUCAUCUUUCUCACCAGCCGUGAUUUUGGGCAGCUCCAUGGACCUGAGCCCUAGGACCAUGCAUCAGGACUACCUGGCAUGAUGACUCCUUGCUGUCCCCAGUCCACCUGGCCCUGCCGUUGUUCCAGUUUCAACUGUUCUGCCUAUGGAACCCUAAACUGUUCAUUUUUACUCGAGGUGAUGUCCUGUUGCACCCUCUACAACCACUGUGAUCUCCACCCGGCACAGCCAGAAGAGGACUGGCCACCCCUCAUAGCCUGGUUCCUCUCUAGGUUUCUUCCUAGGUUUUUGCCUUUCAUGGGAGUUUUUCUUAGCCACCGUGCUUCUACACCUGCAUUGCUUGCUGUUUGGGGUUUUAGGCUGGGGCUAUAUAAAUUGAUUUGAUAGAGGACUGAGGGUCUUCCAAAUAUUGAAAGUGUGUAAAUAGUUACCCAUGUUAUUUUGUAAAUGUAUAUAUUUUGUUUUUCCCGUAUUUUUUUAAUCAUUCCCCCCCCCCAUUUUUUAUUUAUUUCAAUUUUAUCUCAAUUUCUUUGGGUGGGUGUGUUAGAAUACCAUUUUGGUAUUUUGUAUAUAGUUAUUUGUUUCAAAAUGUAUACCUUCACCAAUUUGGCCACUUGGGUACAUUUGGGCUACUUGUUUGGGACACCUGGGUGGGACUCCAUGAUAAAUGUCAUGUAGCACACUCAUUUAGGAAGUUAUUAUUCUGAAACUUUGCACAAGUACUGUUGCCCUCUUAUAUUUUUCACUGAAAUUGUCCCCAUCAUCCUAUCUGAAUGUUUGUUUUAUCUUGUUCAUUUUAAAGAUGAUAAAAAUAAAUAAAAAACGUAUGGUUUUAUCUAAACCAGA